GCCAGGCAUAGUGGCACAUGCCUGUAGUCCAAGCUACUUGGGAGGCUGAGACAGGAGGAUCCCUUGAGUCCAGGAGUUUGAGGCUGCACUGAGCUAUGAUCGUGCCACUGCAGUCCUGCCUGGGCAACAGAGUGAGACCCUGUCUCUA
This 148-nucleotide signal recognition particle RNA is filed under the name Nomascus leucogenys (northern white-cheeked gibbon). RNAcentral describes it as "Metazoan signal recognition particle RNA". It matches the Rfam family "Metazoan signal recognition particle RNA". Rfam says of the family: The signal recognition particle (SRP) is a universally conserved ribonucleoprotein. It is involved in the co-translational targeting of proteins to membranes. Lineage: Eukaryota; Metazoa; Chordata; Mammalia; Primates; Hylobatidae. The record is from Rfam by way of RNAcentral.